This 241-nucleotide unclassified non-coding RNA is filed under the name plant metagenome. RNAcentral describes it as "partial contains small subunit ribosomal RNA, internal transcribed spacer 1, and 5.8S ribosomal RNA". The stretch from base 1 to 53 matches the Rfam family "Eukaryotic small subunit ribosomal RNA", at positions 1778 to 1831 of the family's 1831-position model. The record is from RNAcentral.
GGAAGUAAAAGCGUAACAAGGUUUCCGUAGGUGAACCUGCGGAAGGAUCAUUACAGAGUUCAUGCCCUCACGGGUAGAUCUCCCACCCUUGAAUAUUUAUACCUUAGUUGCUUUGGCAGGCCGUGGAAACACCAUGGGCUCCGGCUUAUGCGUGCCUGCCAGAGGAAACAAACUCUGUUUUUAGUGAUGUCUGAGUACUAUAUAAUAGUUAAAACUUUCAACAACGGAUCUCUUGGUUCUG